This 125-nucleotide ribosomal RNA is filed under the name uncultured bacterium. RNAcentral describes it as "partial 16S ribosomal RNA". It matches the Rfam family "Bacterial small subunit ribosomal RNA", at positions 338 to 480 of the family's 1533-position model. The record is from RNAcentral.
CCUACGGGAGGCAGCAGUGGGGAAUAUUGGACAAUGGGCGCAAGCCUGAUCCAGCCAUGCCGCGUGAGUGAUGAAGGCCUUAGGGUUGUAAAGCUCUUUCGCUAGGGAAGAUAAUGACGGUACCU